Molecule: ribosomal RNA, 532 nt
Filed under: uncultured bacterium
Lineage: Bacteria
Description: bacterial SSU rRNA
Rfam family: Bacterial small subunit ribosomal RNA
Source: RNAcentral
GGCCUUGACAUACUAAGAACUUUCCAGAGAUGGAUUGGUGCCUUCGGGAACUUAGAUACAGGUGCUGCAUGGCUGUCGUCAGCUCGUGUCGUGAGAUGUUGGGUUAAGUCCGCAACGAGCGCAACCCUUUUCCUUAUUUGCCAGCGGGUAAUGCCGGGAACUUUAAGGAUACUGCCAGUGACAAACUGGAGGAAGGCGGGGACGACGUCAAGUCAUCAUGGCCCUUACGGCCAGGGCUACACACGUGCUACAAUGGUCGGUACAAAGGGUUGCUACCUCGCGAGAGGAUGCUAAUCUCAAAAAGCCGAUCGUAGUCCGGAUCGCAGUCUGCAACUCGGCUGCGUGAAGUCGGAAUCGCUAGUAAUCGCGGAUCAGAAUGCCGCGGUGAAUACGUUCCCGGGCCUUGUACACACCGCCCGUCACACCAUGGGAGUUUGUUGCACCAGAAGUAGGUAGUCUAACCGCAAGGAGGACGCUUACCACGGUGUGGCCGAUGACUGGGGUGAAGUCGUAACAAGGUAGGCGUAGAUGA